Ixodes scapularis (black-legged tick) is the source of this 245-nucleotide long non-coding RNA. RefSeq lists it as uncharacterized. NCBI's taxonomy places the organism in Eukaryota, Metazoa, Arthropoda, Arachnida, Ixodida, Ixodidae. The transcript has 3 exons. The record is from RefSeq and is a predicted model, not a curated record.
CCCCAGCAAGCACUGCUGCUGCAAAUGGGCCACGGACGCCAACAGUCACGGUGGGGGGAAGAACCCCUACGCUAUCCAGCACACAGUCCUUGGCAUGCACUCCUGCCACAGACAAGCUUCACUCACCAACAUUUAUGACUGGAGGGGGAGUGUCCAGCACGCCUACGGAAUGCACCCCUGCCCCAAACGGUGGGCCUCAAGUGACAACAUUCACGAUUGUGGGGGGAACUGGUAGGGUACCCAGC